CCUACGGGAGGCAGCAGUGAGGAAUAUUGGUCAAUGGGCGGAAGCCUGAACCAGCCAAGUCGCGUGAGGGAUUAAGGCCCUAUGGGUCGUAAACCUCUUUUGUCCGGGAGCAAGGUCGUCCACGUGUGGGGGUAUGGAGAGUACCUGGAGAAAAAGCAUCGGCUAACUCCGUGACAGCAGCCGCGGUAAUACGGAGGAUGCGAGCGUUAUCCGGAUUUAUUGGGUUUAAAGGGUGCGUAGGCGGGACCUUAAGUCUGCGGUAAAAUGGCGGGGCUAAACGCCGGAGUGCCGUUGAAACUGGGGCCCUUGAGUGAGCGAGAAGUAUGCGGAAUGCGUGGUGUAGCGGUGAAAUGCAUAGAUAUCACGCAGAACCCCGAUUGCGAAGGCAGCAUACCGGCGCUCAACUGACGCUGAGGCACGAAAGUGCGGGUAUCGAACAGGAUUAGAUACCCUAGUAGUC
This 460-nucleotide ribosomal RNA is filed under the name uncultured bacterium. RNAcentral describes it as "partial 16S ribosomal RNA". It matches the Rfam family "Bacterial small subunit ribosomal RNA", at positions 338 to 795 of the family's 1533-position model. The record is from RNAcentral.